Molecule: non-coding RNA, 2152 nt
Organism: Penaeus vannamei (Pacific white shrimp)
Lineage: Eukaryota; Metazoa; Arthropoda; Malacostraca; Decapoda; Penaeidae
Source: RefSeq, a predicted model, not a curated record
AUGGUAGAAAAAUAUUACAUAACACCAUUACAGAACGUGAGCGAAAAUGGGAGUCCCUACGGUGCUAGCAGAGGCCUUUGCCGUUGUGGGGAGGACGAGUAUGUGUGCACUCUGCCGCCGGAGGUUAGGAAAGUGGCCUCCAGGGACCUGAUGGAGGACGAGGCCACGAGGGUCGCGGGCUGAAGGCCAUGAGGGAGUUCGUGCCAGGAACAACGGCCAUCACCAAGUGCAGAUACCUCUUUCUUCCCCACCCCCAAUUCAUAUACUUAAACCGCACCCGCCUCUCUUCUCUUUCUUUCUCCCAAUUCCUUUUCUCAAACCACACCCAUCUUUCUUGCAGACGGAACUUCCUGUUGCGAUUUCUCCGCAUGAAAAAGUUCAGGAUCCGCGAAGCUCAAGAACUGCUGGAGAAAUACCUUCACAUGCGCACGGAGAACACACACUGGUUCCACGGUCUCGACAUCAAGGACCCCAUGAUAGAGAACCUCAUUGACAGGGGGUACUUCUUUGCCCUGCCGGAGAGGGACGACUCCGGGAGGAGGGUGUUCUUCAGUGUUGCUGGCAGAAUGGAUCCAACCAAACACACACUUCAGAUCAAAUGAAGUCCAUGCAAAUUGCCUUCGAAUCCCUUUUAGAAGAUGAAGAAAAUCAGGUCCGAGGAUUCACAUACAUUUUUGACGAAAAGGAUGUUGGUCUUUCCAUUAUAUCACACUUUGGUCACCUGCUGAUGUCACUAAAGCUUUCCAAUGUUGUGAGAAAACCAUUCCAAUGCGGCACAAGGAGAUUCACUUUGUGAAUUUGCCCACGGCACUGUUUGCAAUUUUUGAAUUUGCUAAAACUCUUCUGUCAGAAAAGAUUAAGAACAGAUUCCAGGUACACAGUGACGAAUCCAAACUGCGCAAGAAAGUUCCCUUGAGGAUAUUGCCCAAAGAGUAUGGAGGAACAGUUCCUAUGGCUGAGAUGAUCAAAAUGUACAAAAAGGAACUAACAGCUGUAAGGUCUCGUGUACUGAUGUUGGAUAACAUGCACAUUGAGAAGAAAGUCAAGCACAAGAAGAUUGGAAAAGCUAUUAACACAAUCCAGAGGAACUUCAGGAAGCUUGAUAUUGAUUAGUUGUUAUAUUAUAAAUGAAAUCUGUUUUAAUUUUGUUUGUACUGUUCUCGAAUGAGAGAAAAAAGAAAAGUUUUACAAGUAAUGCGAGUACAAAAAUCAUGACACAGUUAUUCUCUACAUAUAUUUCUGACUUCACAUUAAAUAAAGGCUGUUUGCUUCACAAUAGAAUUAGCCGUGUACCUCAUCCUUUUUCUACUUCUUGUAGAAAAACACUGAGACACUGGUUGACUGUGAAGAAAUUACAAGUCUAACGUGUAAUGAAAGAAGAAGUUAAACACAGUAAUAGGAAAUAGGUCAUUAAAAGUGUCUUUACUUUAUAUCUUCAAGGACCGUGAAAUUCAGCAAACUGUGUCUGUGAUGGUAUGAAUAUUUAUGUCGCAAUCUAAAGUGUGUGAUUAGAAGAAAUCUAAGUGUAGAGGCAUUAGUAAUAUAGAAAUAAUUAGGAAACUGUAAUGUGAGUAUCUGCUCAACAUAUGCUAUGCUUAGCAUGCUAUUGAAUGCAUCUCGUGUAACACACAAUCUGUGUACUUUCAGGUGUUUUUAUAGCUAUUUAUUUUUUCCCGUUGCCUCAACUAAGACACAUUCUUUAUAGAAAAUAACUCAGAAAAAGUGCCAUGAUUAAGGGAAUAUCAACUAUAUAUUAAUAUACUGAUAGUAUGUACAACACAUUUUGAUGACUUCUGUCUAUGCAAUGCCAGGUCUUUCAUAGCGUUAAUAGUGAUCAUCAUAUUGUCAGUAAACCAUCAUUCAUCGAUCACGAACUCUAGUCAUAUUUUAAGAGUUCUUAGCACUCAUUUUCCACAUUUAGAAUACACCAUAUCCAACACUUAUAGAGUGAAGAUUGCAUUACUUGUUAUGCAGUGUAUAGCAGUAUGAUUGCCUUUCAUUGCUGUGUUAAUUUAUAUUUAUUAUCUUGACUAAAGGGGUGAAUGAAUGAGAGAUUAUGCAGUUUUUGUAUGUAACUUUAGACAUUUAGGUGUGAAUGCUGUAAUGUAAAUACUUAUCACUGAAAAAAAAUAAAUGCUUAUGAAAGAUUUAA